AGUGAACGCUGGCGGUAGGCCUAACACAUGCAAGUCGAACGGCAGCACAGUAAGAGCUUGCUCUUACGGGUGGCGAGUGGCGGACGGGUGAGGAAUACAUCGGAAUCUACUUUUUCGUGGGGGUUAACGUAGGGAAACUUACGCCAAUACCGCAUACGACCUACGGGUGAAAGCAGGGGAUCUUCGGACCUUGCGCGAUUGAAUGAGCCGAUGUCGGAUUAGUUAGUUGGCGGGGUAAAGGCCCACCAAGUCGACGAUCCGUAGCUGGUCUGAGAGGAUGAUCAGCCACACUGGAACUGGGACACGGUCCAGACUCCUACGGGAGGCAGCAGUGGGGAAUAUUGGACAAUGGGCGCAAGCCUGAUCCAGCCAUACCGCGUGGGUGAAGAAGGCCUUCGGGUUGUAAAGCCCUUUUGUUGGGAAAGAAAAGCAGCAGGUUAAUACCCCGCUGUUCUGACGGUACCCAAAGAAUAAGCACCGGCUAACUUCGUG
RNAcentral lists this ribosomal RNA (492 nucleotides) under uncultured bacterium. RNAcentral describes it as "partial 16S ribosomal RNA". It matches the Rfam family "Bacterial small subunit ribosomal RNA", at positions 29 to 507 of the family's 1533-position model. The record is from RNAcentral.